RNAcentral lists this ribosomal RNA (331 nucleotides) under uncultured organism. RNAcentral describes it as "bacterial SSU rRNA". It matches the Rfam family "Bacterial small subunit ribosomal RNA", at positions 585 to 911 of the family's 1533-position model. The record is from RNAcentral.
UAGUCAGAUGUGAAAGCCCCGGGGCUCAACCCCGGAAGUGCAUUUGAAACUAAGGGACUUGAGUAUGGGAGAGGGAAGUGGAAUUCCUGGUGUAGAGGUGAAAUGUCGUAGAUAUCAGGAGGAACACCGGUGGCGAAGGCGACUUCCUGGACCAAUACUGACGCUGAGGCGCGAAAGCUUGGGGAGCAAACAGGAUUAGAUACCCUGGUAGUCCACGCUGUAAACGAUGAACACUAGGUGUAGCGGGUAUUGACCCCUGUCUGUGCCGCAGCUAACGCAUUAAGUGUNCCGCCUGGGGAGUACGGCCGCAAGGUUAAAACUCAAAGGAAUU